UCGAGAAUCUUUCGCAAUGGGCGCAAGCCUGACGAAGCGACGCUGUGUGAGCGAAGAAGGCCUUCGGGUUGUAAAGCUCUUUCGCUAGGGAACAAGAAAGCUGGGAUAAUACCCCGGCGAUUUGAUGGUACUUGGUAAAGAAGCACCGGCUAACUCCGUGCCAGCAGCUGCGGUAAUACGGAGGGUGCAAGCAUUGAUCGGAAUUACUGGGCGUAAAGGGCGCGUAGGCGGUCUAGAAAGUCAGAUGUGAAAUCCUGGGGCUCAACCCCAGACCUGCAUUUGAAACUUCUAGUCUAGAGUACAAUUAGGGAAAACGGAAUUCCACGUGUAGCGGUGAAAUGCGUAGAUAUGUGGAAGAACACCGGUGGUGAAGACGGUUUUCUGGGUUGUCACUGACGCUGAGGCGCGAGAGCUAGGGGAGCAAACAGG
RNAcentral lists this ribosomal RNA (429 nucleotides) under uncultured bacterium. RNAcentral's name for it is "bacterial SSU rRNA". It matches the Rfam family "Bacterial small subunit ribosomal RNA", at positions 355 to 776 of the family's 1533-position model. The record is from RNAcentral.